CUCACACCAGCACCCAGCCCCCCACCUCCUCCCUCCCUCUCUCUCUCUCUCUCUCUCUCUCUCUCUCUCUCUCUCUCUCGCUCUCUCAUUCCUGAGGCAAGACCUGGAAGACCAAGGAGGAACAGAGCUUACUUUGGUGCAACCGAAGUACUGAAGAAUCUCCACAGAUUAAUUCCCUAUUAAUCACUGCUUUUCAUUUUAUUUGCAAGCUAUAAGAGAAGAUUUUGCACAUCAUAUUUUUCUCCUGGCUUAAGUAGCUAACGAGUGGAAAACUUUUCUAGCAAAGUUCAGCUCUCUGGCGCUGAGAAAGUCGCAUUAGUUUAUAGGAGGCUGAUACACGUGUUACUGGAAAACAACUAGCCCCCACUAACCGUAACUGGCUGUUUCUAAGAAGUAUUAGUGGGGAGUUGCUAAAGAUUUUCACAACAGGCAUCUCUCUGUUCUCAGCGAGGCUGUUUGAGUUUGCCGAGUUAUAAAGGCAGUCUCAGGUACAAUGGAUCUUGUGGUGUUGGUGGCGUUCGGCUCCUGGCUGGCUCCUGCACUCGGAUCAGCGUUUGGCAGGGAGUUGCCUCAGUGGCAGAUGACGAGGACAAAGACUAUGACAGUGCUUUUCAUUACGAUUAUGAAUCGCUGAGAAUCGGUGGCCUGGUAUUCGCAGUGGUGCUGUUCUUCAUGGGCAUCGCUCUCAUUGUCACCCGAAAAUGUACCUG
Molecule: long non-coding RNA, 710 nt
Organism: Perca fluviatilis (European perch)
Lineage: Eukaryota; Metazoa; Chordata; Actinopteri; Perciformes; Percidae
Exons: 8
Source: RefSeq, a predicted model, not a curated record